UCAAAACCACCAAUCAAUUACUCUCAGGCGAAAAAACCCCGCAUCUUACUGAUUAACUGCUACUAAGUGCCAAAACACUUAACUGCUCAGAGUGAAGAUAUAGCAGUUGCUCAGAGGAUAUUCUUGUGAUUGAAGCAUAUUUCAUGUUUUAUUGAGGCAUACUUGAUUCAAAAGCAUUUCGCAAGGGUGCAGGAUGAUUUGUUGCCAAGAGGAGCGAAGGAGGCUCAUAGCAAAGAGAAGAUUUUACAGAACUGAUAAUUUUGCAGGUACUAGUGGCCUAGCGGGCUUCUUCACUCUGUAGUGAAGCAUUCUGCAAUUACAGGAGACAGCGAAGAAAUGAAUAACUCUACAAGCUCCAGACUGUGAGAUCUCUGCUGCGUCUUCUGCUUGGGCUGCAAUGCUGGUAGCAUAUAUUUGUGAUAGACAGACAGAUGAGGGUAAGAAAUCUGCUGCUGAAGAGAGAGGAAGGCGCACGAUAACAAUAAGGAAGCAAAAUUCCCGUGGAAGAGUCUGAUACAAAGAUAGCAUCUUACAUUAAUACUGUGUGAGCUGCAGGCUUGCCCACCUGCCACAACGCGGAGCAGUCAAUAAGAGGAUUGCCGGGGCAUGUUUAUACUGCAGUGUAACCUCAACCCAGCUAUAAGCCAUCUACUUCAGCGUGGACAGCAGUCCAGCCAGAGAAGGACUGGGCAGUCCUGCUGCAAAUCCUCCCAGGACUUUGCAUAAACACUGCUGCCCAAAUCACCUAGCUAAUACCAACUCAGGUGGGCCUAUGGGAGCUAUCAAGCUUCACCUUUGGGCUGCAGCAAGGGCCUGACGUUAUCAAUAGAUUGACUGUUAAUGGAGGAUCAUCUCUUUUAGAUGAAGUCUGAAAGAGACAGGGCAGGAGUGAGAUGAAAUAUCCUGACAGCAGUGCAGGUGAGGCAUUUGUCACAAGAUGCUACUUGGUACCCGAAUAACAGCACAAAUAACUGCUACCAUUUAUGAAACCGGGAACGGUGUCCGGCAGCAGGGAAAUGACAGAAUCUCUCUCGGCAGGGCACUGCACACUCACCAUAUGAUGGAGUGAUUCUAAUAAAGACAGGCACAGAUCUUGAUUUCUGUCUUCUAAAGCUCACUGCACAAUGCCAGGCUGCAUUACCCUGUGUGUCAGCGUCAGGUUGAUAGUGUCAAAUUGCUCGGAGAGCGCCAUAGUGGCCUGUGACAAACGUACUGCACUGAUAGAGUUGCUGUGUUGGGAAAAUGGGCUGGAUGCCUGUGCUUAGGAGGAGUUACCAUUAUCUGUCCUGCAGUGGUGGCUAUAAGCUCUGAUCAAAGCUAUUAAAGCAGAUCCUACACCAGCAGGCAUGGAGACGGUCUCAUGCCUGAAGAGAAUAUGUCUGUUCAGACAAGCCGAGACACAGGAGGGCAAGCAAAAUGCUUGAAGUUAACCAAGGCUGCAGCAGGGCUGAGAGCAGUGUCCUCAGCCUGCACCAGUUCCAUGGAUGUGGCUGCCUUUG
Molecule: non-coding RNA, 1499 nt
Organism: Struthio camelus australis
Lineage: Eukaryota; Metazoa; Chordata; Aves; Struthioniformes; Struthionidae
Source: RefSeq, a predicted model, not a curated record